This 624-nucleotide ribosomal RNA is filed under the name bacterium 63-L049393-122-001-G08. RNAcentral describes it as "bacterial SSU rRNA". It matches the Rfam family "Bacterial small subunit ribosomal RNA", at positions 60 to 679 of the family's 1533-position model. The record is from RNAcentral.
AGUCGAGCGGAUGAAGAGAGCUUGCUCUCUGAUUCAGCGGCGGACGGGUGAGUAAUGCCUAGGAAUCUGCCUGGUAGUGGGGGACAACGUCUCGAAAGGGACGCUAAUACCGCAUACGUCCUACGGGAGAAAGCAGGGGACCUUCGGGCCUUGCGCUAUCAGAUGAGCCUAGGUCGGAUUAGCUAGUUGGUGAGGUAAUGGCUCACCAAGGCGACGAUCCGUAACUGGUCUGAGAGGAUGAUCAGUCACACUGGAACUGAGACACGGUCCAGACUCCUACGGGAGGCAGCAGUGGGGAAUAUUGGACAAUGGGCGAAAGCCUGAUCCAGCCAUGCCGCGUGUGUGAAGAAGGUCUUCGGAUUGUAAAGCACUUUAAGUUGGGAGGAAGGGCAUUAACCUAAUACGUUGAUGUUUUGACGUUACCGACAGAAUAAGCACCGGCUAACUCUGUGCCAGCAGCCGCGGUAAUACAGAGGGUGCAAGCGUUAAUCGGAAUUACUGGGCGUAAAGCGCGCGUAGGUGGUUUGUUAAGUUGAAUGUGAAAUCCCCGGGCUCAACCUGGGAACUGCAUCCAAAACUGGCAAGCUAGAGUAGGGCAGAGGGUGGUGGAAUUUCCUGUGUAGC